Long non-coding RNA from Amphiprion ocellaris (clown anemonefish), 830 nucleotides. NCBI's taxonomy places the organism in Eukaryota, Metazoa, Chordata, Actinopteri, Pomacentridae. The record is from Ensembl.
UAUAUACAUCUAUGGUCGGAACGUCUGGUAGCAUCUCUGGCUGCUGUUGACCUUGUUUUUGGAGUAAAACACGGUGGAAGCUGAAUUAGUGAGGAUGACUCCUGCUCCUGUCAUCUCUAAGCUCCUCACACAUCUUUACCUGCACAUGAGGAAAAUCACUGCUGUAGAAUGCAGAUGUUCAGAGGGAGAUGAUGCCACAUCUGGUCCAGCUGAUGGAAGGUCUUGAAGUUCUCUGACUGGCCUCGACUGAAGAUGGUCGUCUCAUUGGAUUUAAGGUUCAGAUGCUCAGUAACAAACUCCACCAAUGAGCCAACAGGGAAGCUUUAGGUUUAUUAAAUGUUGCUAUGAAGGUUUCGCUGUUUUUCUUUGUGAAUACAAUGUGCUCCACCUGAAACUUGAACUAGAACUUAGAAGUAAAUCCUUCCAUCUGAAAGGAUUUAGUUGCAUUAAUAACCUCAUAACAUUCUAAUUUUUAUUCCAGUCUUGGUUGGAAAUGGAAUCUCUGUAUUGAUUCAGGUAAAAACUGAACUUCACAGCAUGUUGGAGCAGAACAACCAGAUGAAAACUGUGAUGGUGUUGGAUUGUCAGACCGUAAUGUUGCAGCUCAAAGCAGCUUUUCUAGCUCAGUUCAUUCUGACAUUCAGCUAUGAAUCAACACAGCAGAUGGUGAUCCAUGCUGUGGAAGUCUCACAUCUCCUGAUUUAAUGGAGCUGCUUUGCACUUUUUACACUGUUUAUUCACCAACACUUUAUUUAAUAAAAGUCCCAUCUAGUUUUUAUGAGGAAUGUGAUGUUUUAAUUUCUCUGUGAAUAACUGCAGUCUAAUGCAAC